UUGCAUUUGGGUUUCUUGUGGUAAGAUGUGUGUGUUUAUUUUUAAUGAUUUGUGUAUACAUGUAUGUGAUAGUCUUGAAGAUCUGUUUUCUUGUCAUUAUAAAGUAACUUAUUGAUGUUAAGGAAAUGUUACUUGACAUGGAUUGGGGGCCUUUAGAGGUGUUCCAAAUAUACUGAAUAUAAUAGCAUUUUUAGCUACAUUUUUUACAAAAGGAAAUCAGUCCCGCUGUAUGCAAUUCAGGCAGCCUUGUUUGCUGCUGUCAUACCAGACAGAACACUAUAGGAAAAUGUCACUGUCACACAUGUAUUGCUAUGUCUUUGAACAUUGCAACAAUAUAUUGUUGACGAUGGAUUAAAUUCUUAACCUUAAAUGGAUAUAUCUUCUCUUAACAGUUAUUUUGUGCAUUUUGUAGAGGAUUCAUAUACAGGUCAUAAGUGGGAAAAAGAACUGUGAUGUAUAACCACAAAGAAAACAGAGCACAAAGGAAAGGAAACUAUUCUCUCAAAAUUUUUUUAAUCCUCAAUUGUCAAAUAAUAAAGCUCUAAUGUUAAAGAACCUUUCAUAAGACUCUAUAGUCAUAUAGAGAAAUUCUA
RNAcentral lists this unclassified non-coding RNA (593 nucleotides) under Hevea brasiliensis (rubber tree). Lineage: Eukaryota; Viridiplantae; Streptophyta; Magnoliopsida; Malpighiales; Euphorbiaceae. The record is from RNAcentral.